This 291-nucleotide ribosomal RNA is filed under the name uncultured bacterium. RNAcentral's name for it is "partial 16S ribosomal RNA". It matches the Rfam family "Bacterial small subunit ribosomal RNA", at positions 505 to 796 of the family's 1533-position model. The record is from RNAcentral.
GUGCCAGCCGCCGCGGUAAUACGUAAGGGGGAAGCGUUAUCCGGAAUUACUGGGCAUAAAGGGUACGCAGGCUGUUAAGCAAGCCAAUAGUGAAAGCCAUAGGCCUAACCUAUGUAAGCUAAUGGAACUGCUUAACUUGAGUACAGUAGAGGAAAGUGGAAUUCCUAGUGUAGUAGUGAAAUGCGUAGAUAUUAGGAAGAACAUCAGUAGCGAAGGCGACUUUCUGGACUGUAACUGACGCUGAGGUACGAAAGCGUGGGGAGCGAACAGGAUUAGAUACCCUAGUAGUCC